CCCUUAGAUGUCCUGGGCCGCACGCGCGCUCCACUGACAUGUUCAACAAGCCUCCUAGUUCGACAGGAUUUGGGAAAUCUUUGAACGCAUGUCGUGAUAGGGAUAGAUCAUUGCAAUUAUUGAUCUUGAACGAGGAAUUCCUAGUAAACGCGAGUCAUCAGCUCGCAUUGAUUACGUCCCUGCCCUUUGUACACACCGCCCGUCGCACCUACCGAUUGAAUGUUUCGGUGAAGAUUCCGGAUAGGACUUUUUUGAUUUAUUUCAAUUUUGUCUUAAAAGCUAUCUAAACCUCAACAUUUAGAGGAAGGUGAAGUCGUAACA
This 321-nucleotide ribosomal RNA is filed under the name uncultured eukaryote. RNAcentral's name for it is "partial 18S ribosomal RNA". It matches the Rfam family "Eukaryotic small subunit ribosomal RNA", at positions 1470 to 1796 of the family's 1831-position model. The record is from RNAcentral.